RNAcentral lists this ribosomal RNA (320 nucleotides) under uncultured Bacteroidales bacterium. RNAcentral's name for it is "bacterial SSU rRNA". It matches the Rfam family "Bacterial small subunit ribosomal RNA", at positions 28 to 339 of the family's 1533-position model. Lineage: Bacteria; Pseudomonadati; Bacteroidota; Bacteroidia; Bacteroidales. The record is from RNAcentral.
GAUGAACGCUAGCUACAGGCUUAACACAUGCAAGUCGAGGGGCAGCAUUAAGUCAGCUUGCUGAUUUAGAUGGCGACCGGCGCACGGGUGAGUAACGCGUAUCCAACCUGCCCCCUACCCGGGGAUAGCCUUGCGAAAGUAAGAUUAAUACCCGGUGCUGUUAUGGUUCCGCAUGGGAAUAUAACGAAAGAUUCAUCGGUAGGGGAUGGGGAUGCGUCCGAUUAGCUUGUUGGCGGGGUAACGGCCCACCAAGGCGACGAUCGGUAGGGGUUCUGAGAGGAAGGUCCCCCACAUUGGAACUGAGACACGGUCCAAACUCC